Molecule: ribosomal RNA, 254 nt
Filed under: uncultured bacterium
Lineage: Bacteria
Description: partial 16S ribosomal RNA
Rfam family: Bacterial small subunit ribosomal RNA
Source: RNAcentral
UACGUAGGGUGCGAGCGUUGUCCGGAAUUAUUGGGCGUAAAGAGCUCGUAGGCGGUCUGUCGCGUCGGUCGUGAAAACUUGGGGCUUAACCCCGAGCUUGCGGUCGAUACGGGCAUGACUGGAGUUCGGCAGGGGAGACUGGAAUUCCUGGUGUAGCGGUGAAAUGCGCGGAUAUCAGGAGGAACACCGGUGGCGAAGGCGGGUCUCUGGGCCGAUACUGACGCUGAGGAGCGAAAGCGUGGGGAGCGAACAGG